Molecule: ribosomal RNA, 477 nt
Filed under: uncultured bacterium
Lineage: Bacteria
Description: partial 16S ribosomal RNA
Rfam family: Bacterial small subunit ribosomal RNA
Source: RNAcentral
GACGAACGCUGGCGGCAUGCCUAACACAUGCAAGUCGAGCGAGCAGAUCCCUUCGGGGUGAAGCUAGCGGCGGACGGGUGAGUAACACGUGGGCAACCUGCCUCAUAGAGGGGAAUAGCCUUCCGAAAGGAAGAUUAAUACCGCAUAAGAUUGUAGCUUCGCAUGAAGCAGCAAUUAAAGGAGCAAUCCGCUAUGAGAUGGGCCCGCGGCGCAUUAGCUAGUUGGUGAGGUAACGGCUCACCAAGGCGACGAUGCGUAGCCGACCUGAGAGGGUGAGCGGCCACAUUGGGACUGAGACACGGCCCAGACUCCUACGGGAGGCAGCAGUGGGGAAUAUUGCACAAUGGGGGAAACCCUGAUGCAGCAAUGCCGCGUGAGUGAUGACGGCCUUCGGGUGUAAAGCUCUGUCUUCGGGGACGAUAAUGACGGUACCCGAGGAGGAAGCCACGGCUAACUACGUGCCAGCAGCCGCCGCAG